CGGAUGCACGUUGGAAGAAUGACUCUGGAGUCCAUCAUGGCGUGCUGCCUGAGCGAGGAGGCCAAGGAAGCCCGGCGGAUCAACGACCAGAUCGAGCGGCAGCUCCGCAGGGACAAGCGGGUCGCCAGCCGGGAGCUCAAGCUGCUGCUGCUCAGGACAGGAGAGAGUGGCAAGAGUACAUUUAUCAAGCAGACGAGAAUCAUCCAUGGGUCAGGAUACUCUAAUGAAGAUAAAAGGGGCUUCACCAAGCUGGUUUAUCAGAACAUCUUCACGGCCAUGCAGGCCAUGAUCAGAGCCAUGGACACACUCAAGAUCCAGUACAAGUAUGAGCACGAUAAGGCUCAUGCACAAUUAGUUCGAGAAGUUGAUGUGGAGAAAGUGUCUGCUUUUGAGAAUCCAUAUGUAGAUGCGAUAGUUUAUGUAAUUAUCCUGGAAUCCAGGAAUGCUAUGAUAGACGAGAAUAUCAAUUAUCUGACUCUACCAAAUACUAUCUCAAUGACUUGGACGCGUAGCUGACCCUGCCUACCAGCCUACGCGAGAAGAUGUGCUUAGAGUUCGAGUCCCCACCGCAGGGAUCAUCGAAUAACCCUUUGAUUUACAAAGGGUCAUUUUCAGAAUGGUUGAUGUAGGGGACCCAAAGUCAGAGAGAAGAUAAUGGAUAUACUGCUUUGAGAAUGUCACCUCUAUCAUGUUUCUAGUAGCGCUUAGUGAAUAUGAUCGAGUUCUCGUGGAGUCAGACAAUGAGAACAGAAUGGAGGAAAGGAAGGCUCUCUUUAGAACAAUUAUCACAUAUCCCUGGUUCCAGAACUCCUCGGUUAUUCUGUUCUUAAACAUGAAAGAUCUUCUAGAGGAGGAAAUCAUGUAUUCCCAUCUAGUCGACUACUUCCCAGAAUAUGAUGGACCCCAGAGAGAUGCCCAGGCAGCCCUGGAAUUCCUUCUGAAGAUGUUCAUGGACCUGAACCCAGACAGUGACAAAAUUAUCUACUCCCGCUUCACAUGCACCACAGACACCGAGAAUAUCCGCUUUGUCUUUGCUGCCGUCAAGGACAUCAUCCUCCAGUUGAACCUGAAGUAGUACAAUCUGGUCUAA
This is an RNA transcript of Cercocebus atys (sooty mangabey), 1090 nucleotides long. It is a transcript of the gene named guanine nucleotide-binding protein G(q) subunit alpha pseudogene, with no coding region annotated. The transcript has a single exon. NCBI's taxonomy places the organism in Eukaryota, Metazoa, Chordata, Mammalia, Primates, Cercopithecidae. The record is from RefSeq and is a predicted model, not a curated record.